RNAcentral lists this ribosomal RNA (350 nucleotides) under uncultured bacterium. Its description in RNAcentral is "bacterial SSU rRNA". It matches the Rfam family "Bacterial small subunit ribosomal RNA", at positions 9 to 341 of the family's 1533-position model. The record is from RNAcentral.
GAGUUUGAUCGUGGCUCAGGACGAACGCUGGCGGCGUGCUUAACACAUGCAAGUCGAACGAGAAUCUGUGGAUCGAGGAUUCGUCCAAGUGAAGCAGAGGACAGUGGCGGACGGGUGAGUAACGCGUGAGGAACCUGCCUUUCAGAGGGGGACAACAGUUGGAAACGACUGCUAAUACCGCAUGAUACAUUUGGGUGGCAUCAUCUGAAUGUCAAAGAUUUAUCGCUGAAAGAUGGCCUCGCGUCUGAUUAGCUGGUUGGUGAGGUAACGGCCCCACCAAGGCGACGAUCAGUAGCCGGACUGAGAGGUUGACCGGCCACAUUGGGACUGAGAUACGGCCCAGACUCCUA